Molecule: non-coding RNA, 1175 nt
Organism: Maylandia zebra (zebra mbuna)
Lineage: Eukaryota; Metazoa; Chordata; Actinopteri; Cichliformes; Cichlidae
Source: RefSeq, a predicted model, not a curated record
CAAGGAAUUGAAACAGUGGGAACCGGUUCUCAACAAGAACCGGUUUUCGAUACCCAUCCCUAAUGAAACCUGAUUACUGGGAGUACAUGUUUUCCACUAAUGGACGAUUCAAGCAAGUCCAACACAAAGUCACAGACCGUGUAAUGUCCAAAUCUCCCCUGGGAUUAACAGUAGCACAAAAACCGCCCUCUGGGAGAUUCAGGGACUGAGUUUUCAUGGCCAGGCAGCUCCUGUAGGAGUAAUGUGUAGGUGGGCCAGUAGUUUUUAAACACACCAGCUUCUCAUGUUAUGUUUCCCUUCUGUCUGUUUUACUUGCCUAGCUGCCUUUGUAUCAGUGUCCUUGUUACCAAUUUGUUUCCCCUACAGUUGGAUGUAGUCUAAGUUUACCUUCCUGGACUGUCCUGGAGAUUUUUGAGUUAAGAAGUUGUUCUUACCAGGAACUGCAACAUAUGGAGGACUGGUUGUUAGACCAGUCUUAGCUGGACUGCAUAGCUGAACAAAGACUAAAACCUGCAGACCAAGAUGCUGAAGUUAGAGUCCAGUCAUGGUCUACGGUGGGUGGCUGGAGUUUCCAUUAGGCUCCUGAACUGACCUGGGAUCCGCCCCUGGGCAGGGCCAACUCCAGCUCCUGCACACCUGGAGCCUAUUGCAGGCAAUCAAGCCAGAGGGAUUUAAACCACACAUCGAUGUUCAUUCACUGCCAGUUCGUCAUCAACCCAUUUGCUGUACCCACCCUGGCUCACACUCCACCUCCGGACUCAGGAUACCUAGUGAUCAUUUUGGAAAUCCCUCUGUGCCUCACCUGCCUGCCCUCCUGCCAUCACACUCCAUCUGGAGCCCCGGAUCUCAGGUCAGCCUUUCCACGCCACUCAGCCUCCCCUGGAUCUUCAUCACCCCCCCUCUCAAACACUCCAGGUCCCUAACUGCAAGUAAGAAUUGCUGCUCUUAUACUGGCCACUUCUGAGCUGCCUUCACUACCUGCCUAACUCCUAUAUCCUCUUCCCUCAGUGUGACUGUUCCCCACUCAGCUCCGUUCCGCUUCUCAGGCCUCGUUCCCUCGCCCUAGCCACGUUCCCCAGGGCACGCCACACCAAGGCUCCACGUCUCGUCAUUUUCUGUCCUUGCCACGUUUUUUUUUCCCUUUGCACUUAACCGUAAUAAACUGUUAAAUCAUC